AAAACUAUAGUCUGUGUAAAGAGGUAUAUUCUGAUCUGAUCAACUGCAAGAUGAAGGUUGUAUCUCUUAUCUUCUCCAUCCUACUUCUCAUCAACUUAACCCAGUCCUUCUUCUCCUUCGAGCAGUGCCUUACCAGAGGAGCAGCAUGUUCACUGCCUACUGCCACUACAAGGUUCAGUGGACAGUGUUGUCAGAAUUUGAAUUUAGCGUGCAUUGAAACUAAUCCACGUAAUGGAAAUUCCCGACCCAGAAGAAUCUCUUAUACUCAAUGGCUCAAUAGACGCAGAACUUGCCAGUAGCUUGAAGCUUCUUUAAAGAAGAAAAGGUUUUGAUGAUGGACUUUAUUCAAGACUUGGAAUAAUUUUUAACAAAAAUAAAUACUUUCAUGUCA
Molecule: long non-coding RNA, 391 nt
Organism: Eurytemora carolleeae
Lineage: Eukaryota; Metazoa; Arthropoda; Copepoda; Calanoida; Temoridae
Exons: 2
Source: RefSeq, a predicted model, not a curated record